GUACCUUAAUUGGCUUUUAUUGUGACUUUCUCUCUCUUGCCUCAGGCAGACACAUUUCCGCUUUCCCUCUCUGCCUCUUUCUCUUCCCUCUACCUCUUCCCCUUCCUUGCCUCUGCUUUCCCUCUCUCUUCCUCUUUCUCUUCCCUCUCUCUUCCUCUUUCUCUUCCCUCUCUCUGCGAAGAGUCACAGCAUCUUAGGAAAAUCUUCCUCUAAGCUCGGUCGCAUGGCCAAGCCCAGGAUUCUCGCUCUCUCCAGUUACCUAACUCUUCUUAAAUAUCUCUCUUUCAUCCACCAUUCAACUAUUAUUACCUAUACUCGCCGCUACUUCGAUUUGAAGAACCGCCAACUCCGUCGUCUCCGGCGAGAUCAUGCUGUUCGGCGUCAGAGUCGUGGUAGACUCCAUGAGGAAGAGUAAGUAUGAACAACCUCUCGCAGUACAAGCUCCCUCGCGACGCCGCUGGAUACGCCUCAGCCGACGACGCAGCUCCGAUCGACUCCGGCAAGAACCGCGACCGCAAGCGAGAAUGGACCUUGUAUGAGUAGGUUGCAGCAAAUUGUAAUGGAUACAGUACAGCAAAUUGCAAAAUCUUAGCCUCCUUUUGGAGAAACAUAGUAGCUGGUAUGCAAUUCGCUUGCUUAUUUGAAGUAGUUGAAAGUUAACCUUAUUGGAUUAUUCCUUGAAUCUCGCCUCUUGUCACUUGUGUUGUGGAGAUGCUGAUGAUGCACCUAAGAUGGUUGAUCACGAAUUUCUGCAGGGGAUUAUAAACUCGCUUGAGUCUUGAUGCAUUUUGUUUUAGGGUUUCCAUAAUACUUGUAUUUCAUUACUUAACUUGUAAGGUUAUCAUGCAUUUUCUUUGGUUGCUCUUUGUCUUAAGAUUAAGCCUUUUUUGGUCCUUUAUUCUCUAUUGGUGGUGGAUGGGGAAAAAAGGUUUUCUGAUCUGAUUAUGCCAUUAUUCUUUCACAAUGUAAGGUAUCAUUCAUUCAUUCUUGUUAAAAUUUUGUGGCAAGAUGUUUGAUCUUAUUUGCUUUUGUAAUUUGUGAGCCUGGAAAGUAAUAUGCUGUUGAACUUUUAUGUUGUCCAUCA
Glycine soja is the source of this 1084-nucleotide long non-coding RNA. RefSeq lists it as uncharacterized. The record is from RefSeq and is a predicted model, not a curated record. The transcript has 2 exons. NCBI's taxonomy places the organism in Eukaryota, Viridiplantae, Streptophyta, Magnoliopsida, Fabales, Fabaceae.